CUGACAAUUUCAGGAGAGUAUGAUGUUAGGCUUGUUUGGCAAAACAGUGGUUGUUUUGACAAAAAUAGCCAAAUUCACAAUAAACAUCAUCACCGAAGGCGUAAAAACCCUAUAAUCGCUCAGGUAAAUGGACUGAAAUUGCAUU
Molecule: non-coding RNA, 145 nt
Filed under: Moraxella macacae
Lineage: Bacteria; Pseudomonadati; Pseudomonadota; Gammaproteobacteria; Moraxellales; Moraxellaceae
Also listed under: 1 other name
Description: Glycine sequence
Rfam family: Glycine riboswitch aptamer
About the family: This family represents the bacterial glycine riboswitch. Glycine riboswitches usually consist of two metabolite-binding aptamers domains with similar structures in tandem. The aptamers cooperatively bind glycine to regulate the expression of downstream genes.
Source: RNAcentral